This 307-nucleotide unclassified non-coding RNA is filed under the name Hevea brasiliensis (rubber tree). The record is from RNAcentral. Lineage: Eukaryota; Viridiplantae; Streptophyta; Magnoliopsida; Malpighiales; Euphorbiaceae.
GUUUUUCAGGAUUUGCAGCCACCAAAAGGCAAAAGGCAAAAGGCUUUAGUAAAUACCAAAAAGGAUUCGGAUUUAGAAAUGAAAAACAGAAAGAGUCUCUAUCCACACAGCACUUAAGCAGCAGACAGAUACAUAAUUGUAUUUAUUUAGAUCAUAAAGAUGUUGCGAACUCUGCAAGUAACAAAUUAAAAAGCACUCAUUUGGUCCACCAAUGGAGUAAAUCCUUGCGUCUGUUGAUCUUUUUCUGCAGCUGGAGUAGCCCAUACAGCAAGGCCUCCGCAGUGGGAGGGCAUCCUGGAACAUAAAU